Molecule: unclassified non-coding RNA, 245 nt
Filed under: uncultured Lactarius
Lineage: Eukaryota; Fungi; Basidiomycota; Agaricomycetes; Russulales; Russulaceae
Description: sequence contains ITS2
Source: RNAcentral
AAAUCUCAACCUCCUUGGUUUCUUUUGGAGACCAAAGGAGGCUUGGACUUUGGAGGCGUUUGCUGGGACCUUCAAAGGCCAGCUCCUCUUAAAUGUAUUAGCGGGGUCCUCUUUGCCGGUCCUUGACAUGUGAUAAGAUGCUUCCGUGUCUCGGUUCCUGGCUCUGUUAACUUUGGGACCCGCUUCUAAACCGUCUAGACCCAGGUCGAGACAAUGUUCGAGGAAACCUCCUCGACCCCACGAAC